GUGAAUUUUAGGACUGCCGUCAGGCGUCCGAACCCCUCACUUUCUAACUCUGUGCAUUACGUUGGUCAACUUGGCGGAACGGACUCUUAGAAUCCUAUUACAACGAGUUGAUGGCUUCACUUUUUUAAACAUCAGUCAAUGAAUGUCAUAAAAUACAAAACAAAAAA
RNAcentral lists this unclassified non-coding RNA (167 nucleotides) under uncultured fungus. RNAcentral's name for it is "sequence contains ITS1, 5.8S rRNA gene". The record is from RNAcentral. Lineage: Eukaryota; Fungi.